AAUGGUGAGAUUUAUUCUCUUGCCACAUCUAUUGUUAUGUGCGGAUAAAGAUAUCCUCCCACUGGCUACAUUGUUAUGUGCGGAUAAAGAGAUCCUCCCACUGGCUACAUUGUUAUGUGCGGAUAAAGAGAUCCUCCCACUGGCUACAUUGUUACUGGCUACAUUGUUAUGUGCGGAUAAAGAUAUCCUCCCACUGGCUACAUUGUUAUGUGCGGAUAAAGAGAUCCUCCCACUGGCUACAUUGUUACUGGCUACAUUGUUAUGUGCGGAUAAAGAUAUCCUCCCACUGGAUACAUUGUUAUGUGCGGAUAAAGAGAUCCUCCCACUGGCUACAUUGUUACUGGCUACAUUGUUAUGUGCGGAUAAAGAGAUCCUCCCACGGAUGAUUAAAUCAUGGAACUUGCCAACAAAGACAGCUAAUGAUAACAUGUCACAGUUAGAAAAAGAAGAAAAGGAUGCUGAUGCAAUCAUCGCUCCAUAUCAGGUAGGAGAGCUGAUUGAUAGAGAUGAGAUCAACAUUCCGUCUACAAAGCAGUUAUCAGAAUAGAACCUGGGUGAAGCUGAUAGCUACAACGGAACCACAAGUGUACUCCUGAUAGCUACAACGGAACCACAAGUGUACUCCUGAUAGCUACAACGGAACCACAAGUGUACUCCUGAUAGCUACAACGGAACCACAAGUGUACUCCUGAUAGCUACAACGGAACCACAAGUGUACUCCUGGCUGAUAGCUACAACGGAACCACAAGUGUACUCCUGGUUCAAUAAUGGCCUCAACUAUCAGGCCGAGUUUAUAAAGAUGCAACACUGGCAAAUAUUGUCGGGUUCAGACUACUACAAGUGCCCCGGACAAGGAGAGUGGUGCAUCAGACGAGCUCACGUGUGCAAUGGUUACGAUGACUGUGUGGGGGGAGCUGAUGAAACUGAUGUGGAGUGUGGACAUAUUCGUUAGCUGUGGUUUUGGCUGCGGCUUUUAUGAGGCUGUGCGUUUGAAAACUAUUUUGCGAUUAAUCUAAGAUUUUCUGCUGGUAAGAAAUGAUUUUACAUCUUUUGUUUGAGAUAACUUUGAUAAUUAUGUCCAGGAUUGAUAAACAUAUUGUCAAUAUUUUCCGUUCCAUGAAAAUCAUACGAGUAAGAUAAUACUUUUUUGUGGAUUUUAGAGACAUGUUAUGCUUUUAAGUUAAUGAUAUUUCGCUGUCAAAAUGCAGAUUUGAAAGAUUCAUCAUAGAUUGCUUUGUGCUAUAGAAAAAGAACUUGAUCGUUUUUCUUUGGUUUUGUGUGAGAUUGCAAUAUCAUCAUUUAAUUUCUAAAAAAUA
Molecule: long non-coding RNA, 1316 nt
Organism: Bolinopsis microptera
Lineage: Eukaryota; Metazoa; Ctenophora; Tentaculata; Lobata; Bolinopsidae
Exons: 4
Source: RefSeq, a predicted model, not a curated record